CAGUCGCCGCGGUAAUACGUAGGUGGCAAGCGUUGUCCGGAAUUAUUGGGCGUAAAGGGCUCGCAGGCGGUUUCUUAAGUCUGAUGUGAAAGCCCCCGGCUCAACCGGGGAGGGUCAUUGGAAACUGGGAAACUUGAGUGCAGAAGAGGAGAGUGGAAUUCCACGUGUAGCGGUGAAAUGCGUAGAGAUGUGGAGGAACACCAGUGGCGAAGGCGACUCUCUGGUCUGUAACUGACGCUGAGGAGCGAAAGCGUGGGGAGCGAACAGGAUUAGAUACCCGUGUAGUCCCUAUCUCUUAUAC
This 301-nucleotide ribosomal RNA is filed under the name uncultured bacterium. RNAcentral's name for it is "partial 16S ribosomal RNA". It matches the Rfam family "Bacterial small subunit ribosomal RNA", at positions 509 to 807 of the family's 1533-position model. The record is from RNAcentral.